CUCAUAUAAUAAUCAUUAUGACAAUCUUGUAAUAUGAACUAAUCAAGUUUAUGGACCUAUAGAUCAGGGAAAGAAUAAGACAAGGAGGAUUCUCUUCUUUAGGCAAUUUCAUAGAAAGAAGAUGGUAUUGGUCGUUCAAAAUAUACAGGCCAUGGUACAGGUUUCAGUUUUGCAAACAUCAUUCAAACCUAAAGAUGGGAAUCACCUGCUGUGAAGAAGAAACAUAGCACAUGAUCUGGUUGGCUGAAGCAAUAUGUAUAUAAAGAGUCAUGAAAACGUAUUUGACGGAAUUUGGAAAUAAGACAGGUUUAGAUAAGUAAAUGUUUUCCAAAUGAAAGAGGCAUCGAUGGCUAUGUAAACAGAAGGAUGAGGAAUAGUAGGUGUCUCAGCAGUUAUGCAAUGAAAAAUUGUUAGGAAAAUCAAUCCAUAUUGUGGUUAUGAUUUACAAAGUAGAGUUCUUAGAAUUGUAGGCCAAAUUAAUGAAAGAAGGUAACUUCUACUUUGGUGAGGCAUUCUCUUUUCAAUUUGAUAUCCAUAAAUCUUGAAGUUAGCAGCAGGAUAGUCCGGUAGUAGCUAGCAACCAAGAAGACACUUCAUUUCAGUGCAUUAUGGAAGAGCCAUAGAGAAUCCCUCUCAGGUAGCAAGCAAGUUUCAGCAAUUAAUAUCUUCGACUUUGGGGCUUGAAUGGGUGCAAAUUAGUUUUCAGAAGCACCUGAAAAGGUACAGCCAAUGAUAUUCCCAUUCCAUCACCAUUCAUGCUCGCUAUAAUUGAAUCCCUUGCAACCAUGAAUCAUGCACUUGUAUCCUCUUAUUUGCGUGGUGGUAUGGACUUGCAUUUGAACCAUACAGCUCAUAUCAUCUUUGGACUCAAUACGAAUAGUUGUUGGAUGAAUUGUAAAACCAGUAUGGCU
Molecule: long non-coding RNA, 911 nt
Filed under: Musa acuminata (dwarf banana)
Lineage: Eukaryota; Viridiplantae; Streptophyta; Magnoliopsida; Zingiberales; Musaceae
Description: long non-coding RNA (MACU_LNC005459)
Source: RNAcentral